Molecule: ribosomal RNA, 253 nt
Filed under: uncultured bacterium
Lineage: Bacteria
Description: partial 16S ribosomal RNA
Rfam family: Bacterial small subunit ribosomal RNA
Source: RNAcentral
UACGAAGGGGGCUAGCGUUGCUCGGAAUCACUGGGCGUAAAGGGUGCGUAGGCGGGUCUUUAAGUCAGGGGGGAAAUCCUGGAGCUCAACUCCAGAACUGCCUUUGAUACUGAAGAUCUUGAGUUCGGGAGAGGUGAGUGGAACUGCGAGUGUAGAGGUGAAAUUCGUAGAUAUUCGCAAGAACACCAGUGGCGAAGGCGGCUCACUGGCCCGAUACUGACGCUGAUGCACGAAAGCGUGGGGAGCAAACAGG